UGUGUGUGUGUGUGUGUCAUGAGUAGAUCUGGAUUUGCUCCUGAGGGCUUGACGCGGCGUCCUGAUGGCGUCCCGGUGACGUGGCGUUCUGAUGGCGUCCUGUUGGUCUGCAGACAAGGAGAAGAGACGUGAGGAGGAUCAUCAGGAUGUGUCUGUGUGUACAUCUAAUUGUUAGUGUGUCUGUCUGUAGAUCUAAAUGUUAGUGUUUGUCUUUGUUUAGAACCAAAUGUUAGUGUGUCUGUGUGUACAUCUAAUUCUUAGUGUGUCUGUGUGUACAUCUAAAAUGUUAGUGUGUCUGUGUAUAUAUCUAAAUAUUAAUGUGUCUUUGUGUACAUCUAAAUGUUAGUGUGUGUCUUUGUUUAGAACCAAAUGUUAGUGUGUCUGUGAGUACAUCUGUGUGUGUGUGUGUGUGUCAUGAGUAGAUCUGGAUUUGCUCCUGAGGGGUUGACGCGGCGUCCUGAUGGCGUCCUGAUGGCGUCCUGAUGGCGUCCUGAUGGCGUCCCGAUGACGUGGUGUCCUGAUGGCGUCCCGGUGACGUGGCGUCCUGAUGACGUCCUGUUGGUCUGCAGACAAGGAGAAGAGACGUGAGGAGGAUCAUCAGGAUGUGUCUGGGUGUACAUCUAAUUGUUAGUGUGUCUGUGUGUAGAUCUAAUUGUUAGUGUGUCUGUGUGUAGAUCUAAUUGUUAUUGUGUCUUUGUGUACAUCUAAAUAUUAAUGUGUCUUUGUGUACAUCUAAAUGUUAGUGUGUGUCUUUGUUUAGAACCAAAUGUUAGUGUGUCUGUGUGUACAUCUAAUUGUUAGUGUGUCUGUGUGUACAUCUAAUUGUUAUUGUGUCUUUGUGUACAUCUAAUUGUUAUUGUGUCUUAGUGUACAUCUAAAUAUUAGUGCGUGUCUUUGUUUAGAACCAAAUGAUAGUGUGUCUGUGUGUACAUCUAAAUGUUAGUGUGUGUGUGUUCAUCUAAAUGUUAGUGUGUCUUUGUGUACAUCUAAAUAUUAGUGUGUGUCUUUGUUUAGAACCAAAUGUUAGUGUGUCUGUGUGUACAUCUAAUUGUUAGUGUGUCUGUGUGUACAUCUAAAUAAUAAUGUGUCUUUGUGUACAUCUAAAUGUUAUGUGUGUCUUUGUUUAGAACCAAAUGUUAGUGUGUCUGUGAGUACAUCUGUGUGUGUGUGUGUGUGUCAUGAGUAGAUCUGGAUUUGCUCCUGAGGGGUUGACGCGGCGUCCUGAUGGCGUCCUGAUGGCGUCCUGAUGGCGUCCUGAUGGCGUCCCGAUGACGUGGUGUCCUGAUGGCGUCCCGGUGACGUGGCGUCCUGAUGACGUCCUGUUGGUCUGCAGACAAGGAGAAGAGACAUCUGGAUUUGCUCCUGAGGGGUUGAUGCGGCGUCCUGAUGGCGUCCCGAUGACGUGGUGUCCUGAUGCCGUCCCGAUGACGUGGCGUCCUGAUGCCGUCCUGAUGGCGUCCCGUUGGUCUGCAGACAAGGAGAAGAGACGUGAGGAGGAUCAUCAGGAUGUGAGACAAGAUUCAUAGAUCCAAUUAUUUUAAUUUGAUGCACAUUUUAAUUAUUUCAUGUUUGUUUGGCUGUGUAAAUCUACAUUAUAUAUUUGUGGUUGUUAAACUGUAUUUCUGUAUUUGCUUUUUAUGUUUAGCUAGUCUCUGUGCAUACCGAUAUGUUAGUGCGUCUCUGUGUAAGUACUUUUUACAUUACAUUACAUUUCAUUUAGCUGACGCUUUUAUCCAAAGCGACUUACAAUAAGUGCAUUCAACCAUAGGGUACAAACUCAGAAGUGCAAUUUCCUCAAAUAACUUUUAUAUGUUAGUGCGUCUUUGUGUAAGUACUUCUAUAUGUUAAUGCGUCUCUGUGUACAUCUACAUGACAACAGCAGGAAUCAGAGGUUUAUCUUAGCUCUAAAUCACAGCCUUCUCCACCCGAUAGACCAAUACAUCAUUCACAGCAGUAAGGCUGCAGUCUGUCUGGAUUUCUCACUUACCUUGAGCUCUGUUAAGUGCAGCAGAAUGCGUCUUCGUCCCCUCUACAGACUCCUGAGGCAUUACAUGGUUGCUUUCUGCAAGUGUAGGUCCGGAAAACUUCAGUGUGUAGAUGCGAGGUUUGAAACUGACUGACUGACUGGAUGUGCAACAAACUGUGUUCUUAUGCUGUGGUGAACGGAGCAUAGAACAUGG
Gasterosteus aculeatus aculeatus (three-spined stickleback) is the source of this 2180-nucleotide long non-coding RNA. The record is from Ensembl. NCBI's taxonomy places the organism in Eukaryota, Metazoa, Chordata, Actinopteri, Perciformes, Gasterosteidae.